UCCCUGGUGGCUCAAUCGGUAAAGCGUCUGCCUACAACGUGGGAGACCCAGGUUCAAUCCCUGGGUUGGGAA
RNAcentral lists this transfer RNA (72 nucleotides) under Bos taurus (domestic cattle). It matches the Rfam family "tRNA". From Rfam's summary of the family: Transfer RNA (tRNA) molecules are approximately 80 nucleotides in length. Lineage: Eukaryota; Metazoa; Chordata; Mammalia; Artiodactyla; Bovidae. The record is from Rfam by way of RNAcentral. RNAcentral also lists the same sequence under 1 other name.